CAACAAUAAAUCCAAUCCAUGGAUACUACUUUGAGAUUGUAGGGAACUGAAACUGAAUUGGAAUAAUUUGUCUCAAAUCGAUCUCCCAGCUGUGACUAUCACAGAGUAGUGGUGCUUAGUGAAUAAACAUAUAAUAAGGACAAAUAAAUGAAAUAGUUAUAAAGUUUAUUUUGCAGCAGAAGUACUUUGAGCAUGUCUAAUUUUUUGCUUUUGUGAUUAUCCACCCUUGCUACGUUUGUUAAACUUGAUAUUGACAGACAAUGUAGCGUCACUUCUAAUCUAUUAACAAAUCAGACUGGUUACAAGUUAUUUCGAUAGCUGAUAAUUGUUACAUAAAAGUAUGAAAGUUAACAUCUGAUAAUAGACAUUUAACGUUCAGUUCAGUCUUAAAGGAACAUUCCCACUACCAUACCUACUUAAUAUCAGACCAAAAUGUUGCAGUAUAUAGAAAUACACAUUACUCAAAAUUUUAAAUGAUUUCAGCCUGACUUCAGUGGGUAAAUCUUUAUUUGCAGAGAAGACAUUCCCAACAUUUCCAGCAUAUUUCCAAUCAAUGCUCUCUGUUGUUUGCAGGUGAAAAUGUAAGAGAGUUUUUCUUUAGAGUGGCAUCUUUGACAUUUGAAGCUAGUGUACUGGCCGAGCUGGAGAAGACAAAUGCCAGAAGGAUCGGUGAUGUUGUUAGUGAGUAUUUGGAAUAGUACAACUUAAUUAUUUAAUUUGAAAAUGUAAAAAUAAUGCAGAAAUUAUUAUUGGCAUUUAUAUAGUGCCAACGCAUUCUGCAACACUUUACAAUAAUUGCAGUUAGCUAAGCGGAGUAAUAGUCUGAAAAUAUUUCCAGUUUGAAUUUCCACUCCCCUUGUUGGUAUUUCACAAAUUCUGGUUCAGAAAUCCAGAGUUUUUCAAUGCAAUCUCUAAGGGACUUUCAACAACUGGGCAGCAUUUACAUUGAAGGGACAGGCUAUAGACACCAGAAGCACUACAUUAAGCUAUAGUUGUUCUGGUGACUGUAGUGUCCCUUAAGGUACAGCGCCUAGGACCUUUUCACACCAUAAUAACUUGCAUUAAGGACUGUUUAUACCUUUUGUUUUGUUUUUGCAAUUUCUUUUAGAGGUUAGGGCAAUUGGCAAUUGAGCAAAAGUUCCGUGUUGUAUGGUCACUUGUACUGCCACAAAUGUGUGUCUUCUAUAUUCUUGCGGUCAUGCAGGGUGUAACGCUGUAUGUUGUAUUUCAUUUUCAGAGAUAAACAGCAACGACAGCAACUUGUUUCAGACGACAAAGAAAGACAAGGCCAAGUGCUGCCAAUGACACUAUGCUGCCGACGAAAACUGACAUUUGCACUGAAAAGCUUGAAACCAAACGUUGUUUCACAGGCUUGAUAUACAGAAUGAACUUAAUGUCCCGGUGUUUGGCCCUGGUCUAAGAAAUGAAGCAGUACUUCAAUCAUUGUUUUUAAUAAUCCACCGUUAUCUGUGCUCACACGGGUAACUACAACAUUGAGCUGUACUUCUACUGCUCCUCCCUCCUCUGGCAACGGAGAAUUAAAUCUGUGUUCGAACUUAAACCUAAACCAAAAUGCCAGAGAGGAAUGUAGUCUCCAUAAAAGGUACACAAACACAUUACCCUGUUAAAAUAAAACCUUAUAGAGGGCAAAUGUGUUGAUCACAGAGCGGAUCUAUUUACACACACAUAUAUAUAUAUAUAUAUAUAUAUAUAUAUAUAAUUAUUUUUUUUAAAGUAGUGUUUUAUACCAAGGUAUAUUAUAUAUACAUUCUCAUUGUUUCAAAGACAUGUUAAGUGAUGCAAAUAGAGGAAGGUACCUCAAUGGAUAUAAAGAAUCCCACACGACCUCUACAAAAUAAGGCUUUUCAACUAUGUUUUUUGGGGGGUUUUACGUAAAGAUGUCCCUUCUUCCUAACCAAUCAAUUGAACUUAUCAAUACUUCUUUGUAGGGGCUCUUAGCAGGCAAACACGUAUAGGCAGUUGUCUUCCAUGCCAGGUAAAAAGCCCAGUUCUAUUCUGUAACCAUUAUUCGUGAAGGAAGCAGGUUUACCAGUGUGGUCUAUCAAAUAAAUAAAAACUGUAACUCAAUAAAUUAACCAUUCCAAUGAUCCAUCUGGAAGUAUGGUUGAAACCAUAUCUGGACCACUUUUCCUGUCAUUGGUAUCCUAGCUUCAUUUACAGGAGUACAUUCUAUUACCCCAUCUAAAAUCUCACUUUGGUACCCUGAGAUGUUGAAUGAGAUCAUAGAGUUAGAUCAUUUGCUUAAAUUAUCUGUAUUUAGUAGUCGUGAUCGUAAUAAGAUAUAUUUUACUGCAUAUAUGAUUCGUUGAUAAAUUACAAGUUUGUUUCUCUUUUGUGCUCCAAUAUUGUUUUAUAAACUUUUAUAAAAAAUGUUUUCGUCUAGUAUGUUAAUUUACUAAACCGUAAAUUGUAGUGAAUUGAAAACAAUUUCCAAACCUUAGACCAAAAUAUUCAAGUUUGAGAAUCCUCCAAUUUAGCUAGUCAAAACUUGGCAAUUGUAGAUUGAAAUUUCAAAUCCGUUUUUAAAUUUGUUACAAUUUGUUGAAACCCUUUUGCUUAUUUUUAAUCUUUGUGUAGUUUUUGUAGUACUUGGGAUGAUGCAAUAGACUUCUUCCAUCUAUUUAUAUAUUUUGGUAUUUGUAGUAUGCUUGAACUCUUUAAAAUUGGCUCCUAAAGGAGCAGAGAAACGCCGUACUGUAUUUUAUUCUGGUAUCCGGCUCCUUAUGGGACAUUUUAUAGCUUAUUAUAAAGGCUAUGAUACCAGGGAGCUAUAAGUGCAAUCAUUUAAACUAAUUUGACAAUAUUGUGUACCCUGGGAUCCAAAGCCAGACUAAAUAAGGAAAUCUACAUCACGUACGGUAUAAAGCAAUGGUUCCUAGCUUAGGUCGCUAAUUAAUACUUUUGGAUAAGCUUUUCAAAUAAUGUAAUAUUUUGAAUAAAACUUUAAAAAAAUCAUAUUAAAUCAUUUGAAAAAAAACAAACAAAAUUAUUAAAUCUAGACCUUAGACCUCAAAAACACCCAAUAGCCCAGGAAUUCACUAUUCCCUGUAAGGGUAGAAUUAUGUAUUUGUCUGAAUCCUGGACUAUUGGGUUUGGAAGAGGCUUGGAGUGUCCCUUUAAAAGUGAGUGUCAUGACAUGUCACUAAGUUAAUACUCUACUUUCAGCCUCAUAUUAAAAUGUUAUUACCAACAUGAAUAUGGACCCUUUAGUUUAGAUAACCAAACAGUGUCUGAUUGUGUGUAUUUCUCAGACACUUAAUUAAAUUUAAAGACUAAUGUGCUGUGGCUCCUUUGGCCCAGGCCCAGAUGGCAUACUGGUGUCUGGCUUAGGCUGAUAAGAAUUGAAGUCCCAAAAGGUGGGGUUGGGAGUUAUAGGUUUCCCAGCUCUGCUAUAAUGCAGUUUUAGGCCAGAAAUGUAUUUGGUAUUCUGCUGAAAGUUGUAGAAUAAUAUGAAUAAAUAUUUUUACAUUUUUCGUAACAAAUCCCGGUUUUCUGACUUUUUCACGUCUUGUGAUGCCUACCUUGCCUCCCAGCACUUUCAGUGGAUGUGUAACCAGAGGGAUGAUCAUAUUCACAGGAUUAACUUGAACCAUUGGGAAACCCCCCCCACAAAUGAAAAGAAAUCUUUGAAGAAAGCAGCAUUUUAUUUACAUAAAAGUAUUUUCUAAAAAUGUUUAGUAUACUUUUUUUAAUGUUGGCUAAUGUGACUGUCAUAUACGCUCAUGCAUACCACAAAUUAUACUUUCUUAGAAGAAAAACGGAAACCAUCUAAAACCGAAAAAAAACAAACAAAAAAAACCCAACAUUUCCUACUUCAGUUUUAUGGUUCCCAAUAAAUUAUUGGGAAUUCAAAUGUUGAGCCAAAAUGACCAAUUUGUAAAAUGUCCGCAAGUUAGCCAUGUUUUUAGUUCAGCUAUUGGGGCUUACAAUUUCAUAUCCAAUUUGAUUUUUAAAUCUGUUGCCUACUGAAAUUAUGGUUUCUAAUAGUCAAUUAGAACAUUGCUAGUUCAAACAUUAGUGCAAUGUGAGCAGGCAAUGUAUUUCAAAGAUUUGAUAUGUUACCUUGCUUGCUUAUUUAAGUCGGUCAAUAAAGUGAUUGUGGAU
Pelobates cultripes (western spadefoot toad) is the source of this 4125-nucleotide non-coding RNA. NCBI's taxonomy places the organism in Eukaryota, Metazoa, Chordata, Amphibia, Anura, Pelobatidae. The record is from the annotation of a GenBank genome assembly.